Molecule: ribosomal RNA, 517 nt
Filed under: uncultured Actinomycetes bacterium
Lineage: Bacteria; Bacillati; Actinomycetota; Actinomycetes
Description: bacterial SSU rRNA
Rfam family: Bacterial small subunit ribosomal RNA
Source: RNAcentral
CGCAGCGACGCCGCGUGCGGGAAGAAGGCCUUCGGGUUGUAAACCGCUUUCAGGAGGGACGAAGCCACUCGGGUGAAUAGCCCAGAGGGUGACGGUACCUCCAGAAGAAGCCCCGGCUAACUACGUGCCAGCAGCCGCGGUAAUACGUAGGGGGCUAGCGUUGUCCGGAUUUAUUGGGCGUAAAGCGCGUGUAGGCGGCCAGAUAGGUCUGCUGUGAAAACUCGAGGCUCUACCUCGAGCUGUCGGCGGAAACCAUCCGGCUAGAGUCCGGAAGAGGAGAGUGGAAUUCCCGGUGUAGCGGUGAAAUGCGCAGAUAUCGGGAAGAACACCUGUGGCGAAGGCGGCUCUCUGGGACGGUACUGACGCUGAGACGCGAAAGCGUGGGGAGCAAACAGGAUUAGAUACCCUGGUAGUCCACGCCGUAAACGAUGGGUGCUAGGUGUGGGGAGUGCCAACUCUCUCCGCGCCGAAGCUAACGCAUUAAGCACCCCGCCUGGGGAGUACGGCCGCAAGGCUA